Molecule: ribosomal RNA, 517 nt
Filed under: uncultured bacterium
Lineage: Bacteria
Description: bacterial SSU rRNA
Rfam family: Bacterial small subunit ribosomal RNA
Source: RNAcentral
AGCGAACGCUGGCGGCAGGCCUAACACAUGCAAGUCGAACGGACCCUUCGGGGUUAGUGGCGGACGGGUGAGUAACACGUGGGAACGUGCCUUUAGGUUCGGAAUAGCUCCUGGAAACGGGUGGUAAUGCCGAAUGUGCCCUUCGGGGGAAAGAUUUAUCGCCUUUAGAGCGGCCCGCGUCUGAUUAGCUUGUUGGUGGGGGUAAUAGCCCACCAAGGCAACGAUCAGUAGCUGGUCUGAGAGGAUGACCAGCCACAUUGGGACUGAGACACGGCCCAAACUCCUACGGGAGGCAGCAGUGGGGAAUCUUGCGCAAUGGGCGAAAGCCUGACGCAGCCAUGCCGCGUGUAUGAUGAAGGUCUUAGGAUUGUAAAAUACUUUCACCGGUGAAGAUAAUGACUGUAGCCGGAGAAGAAGCCCCGGCUAACUUCGUGCCAGCAGCCGCGGUAAUACGAGGGGGCUAGCGUUGCUCGGAAUUACUGGGCGUAAAGGGAGCGUAGGCGGACAUUUAAGUCGA